GAUGAACGCUAGCGGCAGGCCUAAUACAUGCAAGCCGAACGGGAUCUGAGGGUAGCUUGCUACCCGAUUUGAGAGUGGCGCACGGGUGCGUAACGCGUGAGCAACCUACCCAUAUCAGGGGGAUAGCCCGAAGAAAUUCGGAUUAACACCGCAUAAUAAUACGCUAACACAUGUGGAUGUAUUUAACUAUUUAUAGGAUAUGGAUGGGCUCGCGUGACAUUAGCUAGUUGGUAAGGUAACGGCUUACCGAGGCGACGAUGUCUAGGGGCUCUGAGAGGAGAAUCCCCCACACUGGUACUGAGACACGGACCAGACUCCUACGGGAGGCAGCAGUAAGGAAUAUUGGUCAAUGGGCGCAAGCCUGAACCAGCCAUGCCGCGUGCAGGAUGACUGCCCUAUGGGUUGUAGACUGCUUUUGUUAGGGAAUAAACCUUCUUACGUGUAAGGAGCUGAAUGUACCUAAAGAAUAAGGAUCGGCUAACUCCGUGCCAGCCGCCGCCGUAA
RNAcentral lists this ribosomal RNA (504 nucleotides) under uncultured bacterium. RNAcentral describes it as "partial 16S ribosomal RNA". It matches the Rfam family "Bacterial small subunit ribosomal RNA", at positions 28 to 523 of the family's 1533-position model. The record is from RNAcentral.